This 969-nucleotide ribosomal RNA is filed under the name Microbacterium foliorum. RNAcentral's name for it is "bacterial SSU rRNA". It matches the Rfam family "Bacterial small subunit ribosomal RNA", at positions 82 to 1063 of the family's 1533-position model. Lineage: Bacteria; Bacillati; Actinomycetota; Actinomycetes; Micrococcales; Microbacteriaceae. The record is from RNAcentral.
CUCUGUGGGAUCAGUGGCGAACGGGUGAGUAACACGUGAGCAACCUGCCCCUGACUCUGGGAUAAGCGCUGGAAACGGCGUCUAAUACUGGAUACGAGUAGCGACCGCAUGGUCAGUUACUGGAAAGAUUUAUUGGUUGGGGAUGGGCUCGCGGCCUAUCAGCUUGUUGGUGAGGUAAUGGCUCACCAAGGCGUCGACGGGUAGCCGGCCUGAGAGGGUGACCGGCCACACUGGGACUGAGACACGGCCCAGACUCCUACGGGAGGCAGCAGUGGGGAAUAUUGCACAAUGGGCGCAAGCCUGAUGCAGCAACGCCGCGUGAGGGAUGACGGCCUUCGGGUUGUAAACCUCUUUUAGCAGGGAAGAAGCGAAAGUGACGGUACCUGCAGAAAAAGCGCCGGCUAACUACGUGCCAGCAGCCGCGGUAAUACGUAGGGCGCAAGCGUUAUCCGGAAUUAUUGGGCGUAAAGAGCUCGUAGGCGGUUUGUCGCGUCUGCUGUGAAAUCCGGAGGCUCAACCUCCGGCCUGCAGUGGGUACGGGCAGACUAGAGUGCGGUAGGGGAGAUUGGAAUUCCUGGUGUAGCGGUGGAAUGCGCAGAUAUCAGGAGGAACACCGAUGGCGAAGGCAGAUCUCUGGGCCGUAACUGACGCUGAGGAGCGAAAGGGUGGGGAGCAAACAGGCUUAGAUACCCUGGUAGUCCACCCCGUAAACGUUGGGAACUAGUUGUGGGGUCCAUUCCACGGAUUCCGUGACGCAGCUAACGCAUUAAGUUCCCCGCCUGGGGAGUACGGCCGCAAGGCUAAAACUCAAAGGAAUUGACGGGGACCCGCACAAGCGGCGGAGCAUGCGGAUUAAUUCGAUGCAACGCGAAGAACCUUACCAAGGCUUGACAUAUACGAGAACGGGCCAGAAAUGGUCAACUCUUUGGACACUCGUAAACAGGUGGUGCAUGGUUGUCGUCAGCUCGU